CACCUAUCCUCGGAUAGAAGCGAGUGGCGAACGGCUGAGUAACACGUGGAGAACCUGCCCCCUCCCCCGGGAUAGCCGCCCGAAAGGACGGGUAAUACCGGAUACCCCGGGGUGCCGCAUGGCACCCCGGCUAAAGCCCCGACGGGAGGAGAUGGCUCCGCGGCCCAUCAGGUAGACGGCGGGGUGACGGCCCACCGUGCCGACAACGGGUAGCCGGGUUGAGAGACCGACCGGCCAGAUUGGGACUGAGACACGGCCCAG
RNAcentral lists this ribosomal RNA (261 nucleotides) under uncultured bacterium. Its description in RNAcentral is "partial 16S ribosomal RNA". It matches the Rfam family "Bacterial small subunit ribosomal RNA", at positions 70 to 334 of the family's 1533-position model. The record is from RNAcentral.